Molecule: ribosomal RNA, 1313 nt
Filed under: human gut metagenome
Description: bacterial LSU rRNA
Rfam family: Bacterial large subunit ribosomal RNA
Source: RNAcentral
GGAAAUCCGGUCCGCAUCGAGGGCGAGGCUCCGGACGAAGCACUUAAGCGAAGCGAGUGAGCCCGAGGUCCCUAGAAAAACCCCUAGGCAGGCGCGUGCGCGCCCGUACCGCAAACCGACACAGGUGGGUGGGUAGAACAUACCGAGGCGAUCGGGUCAACCAUGGUCAAGGAACUCGGCACAAUGGCCCCGUAACUUCGGGAGAAGGGGUGCCCGCGCGUACGUGAACGGACUUGCUCCGGGAGCGGAGGCGGGCCGCAGUGGAGAGGCCCAAGCGACUGUUUACCAAAAACACAGGACUCUGCAGAAGCCGCAAGGCGACGUAUAGGGUCUGACGCCUGCCCGGUGCCGGAAGGUCACGCGGAGGAGUUAGCGCACCGCGCGAAGCCCCGAAGCCAAGCCCCGGUAAACGGCGGCCGUAACUAUAACGGUCCUAAGGUAGCGAAAUUCCUUGUCGGGUAAGUUCCGACCUGCACGAAAGGCGCAACGACUUGGGCGCUGUCUCGACCAUGGACCCGGUGAAAUUGCACUGGUCGUGAAGAUGCGACUUACCCGCGGAAGGACGGAAAGACCCCGUGAACCUUCACUGCAGCUUGGCAUUGGCCGCUGGUCCCGCGUGUAGAGGAUAGGCAGGAGGCGAAGAUCCGGAGGCGCCAGCCCCCGGGGAGCCGCCCUUGGAAUACUGCCCUCGCGCGACCGGCGUCCUAACCCGAGGCCGUCAACCGGCUCGGGGACCGUGCCAGGCGGGCAGUUUGACUGGGGCGGUCGCCUCCUAAAGGGUAACGGAGGCGCGCGAAGGUCCGCUCGGGACGGUCGGCAACCGUCCUUUUGAAUGCAAGAGUACAAGCGGGCUUGACUGCGAGGCCCACAAGCCGAGCAGGUGCGAAAGCAGGCUCUAGUGAUCCGGCGGCCCCGAGUGGGUGGGCCGUCGCUCAACGGAUAAAAGGUACUCCGGGGAUAACAGGCUGAUCUUGCCCAAGAGUCCACAUCGACGGCAAGGUUUGGCACCUCGAUGUCGGCUCAUCGCAUCCUGGGGCCGGAGCAGGUCCCAAGGGUACGGCUGUUCGCCGUUUAAAGCGGUACGCGAGCUGGGUUCAGAACGUCGUGAGACAGUUCGGUCCCUAUCCUCCGUGGGCGCAGGAGAAUCGAUGGAGGCUGCCCCCAGUACGAGAGGACCGGGGUGGACGCACCUCCGGUGAACCGGUUGUCGACCAACGGCACGGCCGGGUAGCCGCGUGCGGCGCGGAUAACCGCUGAAGGCAUCUAAGCGGGAAGCCGUUCCAGGGAUUAGUUCUCCUUCCGGUAAGGGCCCA